UGCUAACUGUAUGGGGAUAUCCACAGAAAAUGUGCUAACUACAUUGUGAUAUGCAUACAAAAUGUGCUAACUGUAUGGGAUUAUCCAUACAAAAUGUGCUAACUGUAUGGGGAUAUCCAUACAAAAUUUGCUAACUGUAUGGGGAUAUCCACACAAAAUGUGCUAAUUGUAUGGGGAUGUCCAUACAAAACAUGCUUACUGUUUGGAGAUACAGGUAUGCUAACUUGAAUGUGCUAUUGACAGAGUUUAGCAUCUAGAAUGUAUAUAGGAUAUUUGCAUGGCUUAUUCACAGCCAAGUAGUGCUAAGGCACUGUAAAAAGCUGUAAACGUCAAAAUCAUGCUUUAGGUGAUGUACCAGGAUAUCUAGCGUGUAUAUACUAUACAAAACGUCCUUAGUGCUGUUAUGCCUGUUUACAUCCAAAAUGUUUUGGAGCACCUUGUAUGGCUAUAGACAUCAAAAUGUGCAAGUAAAAAAAAAUGUGUGUACUGUGUAUGGCAUCUUAACAUGAAAAACAUGCUAAGGUACGGUAUAGUUGGUGUUAUUCACAGGGGAUUUAAUUUUUGCUCUAUUUGUGGUUGCUAAUUAUACAAAAAUAACGCAAAAUUCAAUACCCAUUGAUUAUAAUCUCGAUGAAUGUAUAUUUAUACAAAUACAAUUGAUACAUUGGUAUGUACAGACUCGCACAAAAUAAUAACUGUUUAAUGCCGAAUACGGAAAUUAAACAACAACUCGGUGUUUAAUUUACUUGAUUUUCACAAAAUAAUUGUAAAGUAAAUCUCGUCACCCAAAUAUAAAGUACCCUCGUGAGUGUGAUAUUUUUGCAGGACCACGUUACACGAAAUUGAUAACUGGCUUACUUGUCCUGAUCAGAACACCGCCUGAAUAUUAGACUCGCAGAAUUAAAUAAUUGAUACGGUACUCUUUAAUAUAGCAGGUAUACAAACAAAACAUGUUGAGGUGCCAUGUGUCUCUUUAUGUUCAAACCAAAUCUUCUAGAGGCACUGUGCAGUAUGUAAAUAUACAAAACAAUAUUGUGUUUGGUAGAGGACAUCCAGAUUGUGCUGAGGCACUGCAUAAUAUUCAAUGUAUGCUGAUAUACAUACCGUGUAUGGCUGGAGACACUUAUAACGUGUUGUGCUAAUUAAAGGUACUGUGUAUGGCUGAAGACACGUAUAACAUGUUGUGCUAAUUAAAGGUACUGUGUAUGGCUGAAGACACUUAUAACGUGUUGUGCUAAUUAAAGGUACUGUGUAUGGCCGAAGACACUUAUAACGUGUUGUGCUAAUUAAAUGUAUUGUGUAUAGCAUGUAAACUUAUACCAGGUACGAAAGGAGAAAAAGGUACUGUGUAUGGCGUGUAAACUUAUACCAGGUACGAAAGGAGAAAAAGGUACUGUGUAUGGCUGAACACACUUAUAACAUGUUGUGCUAAUUAAAUGUAUUGUGUAUGGCGUGUAAACUUAUACCAGGUACGAAAGGAGAAAAAGGUACUGUGUAUGGGUGUUUACAUCGAAAAUGUGCUAAAUGUCUGUAGAUUGUAAUGUGUAUGGCUGUGAAAAAUGUACAUUUGUAAGGCUAACCAUUUUAUUUUGAACAAAUUAUCUUCAGGUUUUGUGAGUGAGUGUAAGUCGAGAUUCGCCAGCUUUGCCCGGAGGUAAUCCCUCAGUAAAAAAAAAACUGAUAACAUUUCAAAGUGUAUUGGCACAUCAUACAACUGUUGUCUGAUGAUGUUAACAUAGGUACACAGUGUACCUGUUAAUGUGAUAAGGAUAUUUGAAUGUUGAAACUGAUCAUGGAUUGUUUUUGAAUCACAUUCAGUGUGAGAGGAGUCUAGGUAAGACACAAAAUAAUCAUUCACUAUUUCUUCAUCUCAUUGUUCAUUUUUCUAUUCUUAAAAAUAAAAUUUGUUUGACAGUA
RNAcentral lists this long non-coding RNA (1917 nucleotides) under Mizuhopecten yessoensis (Yesso scallop). RNAcentral describes it as "uncharacterized LOC110442357". Lineage: Eukaryota; Metazoa; Mollusca; Bivalvia; Pectinida; Pectinidae. The record is from RNAcentral.